CCUACGGGAGGCAGCAGUGGGGAAUAUUGGACAAUGGGCGCAAGCCUGAUCCAGCCAUACCGCGUGGGUGAAGAAGGCCUUCGGGUUGUAAAGCCCUUUUGUUGGGAAAGAAAAGCAGUCGGCUAAUACCCGGUUGUUCUGACGGUACCCAGAGAAUAAGCACCGGCUAACUUCGUGCCAGCAGCCGCGGUAAU
RNAcentral lists this ribosomal RNA (194 nucleotides) under uncultured bacterium. RNAcentral describes it as "partial 16S rRNA". It matches the Rfam family "Bacterial small subunit ribosomal RNA", at positions 338 to 524 of the family's 1533-position model. The record is from RNAcentral.